RNAcentral lists this ribosomal RNA (445 nucleotides) under uncultured bacterium. Its description in RNAcentral is "partial 16S ribosomal RNA". It matches the Rfam family "Bacterial small subunit ribosomal RNA", at positions 354 to 796 of the family's 1533-position model. The record is from RNAcentral.
GUAGGGAAUAUUGGGCAAUGGAUGCAAGUCUGACCCAGCCAUCCCGCGUGCCGGAAGAAGGCCCUCAGGGUUGUAAACGGCUUUUGACGGUGAAGAACCGACAGGAUGCGUCCUGUUUUGACGGUAGCCGUUGAAUAAGCACCGGCUAACUCCGUGCCAGCAGCCGUGGUAAUACGGAGGGUGCGAGCUUUGUCCGGAUUUAUUGGGUUUAAAGGGUGCGUAGGCUGGAAGGUCAGUCAGCGGUGAAAAGCUAUCGCUUAACGAUAGUCUUGCCGCAGAUACUUCCUUUCUUGGAUGAGGAGGAGGCCACUGGAACGGAUGGUGUAGCGGUGAAAUGCAUAGAUAUCAUCCAGAACACCGAUUGCGAAGGCAGGUGGCUGUACCUUAAUCGACGCUGAUGCACGAAAGCAUGGGGAGCAAACAGGAUUAGAAGCCCGAGUAGUCC